CAGGCUUGCUCGGGCGACGUCUCGGUCCUCCGGCGGCUCCUCCUCGAAGGCGUCGUCUGAGGGUCGCGCGUUUCUCGUCUUUGCGUUGGGACGACGCGUGAGUGGCUUUUAGGACGUUAAUCCAGAGCAGGCUCCAUGUUCCUCGCAUCGAACUGCCCUGGCCCGUCCGUUUCAUCGGCUGGCUCUCCUCGGCCCGUUCGGGGCCGUUUGCGGCUGCUUAGUGGGUUCCUGUGCUCGAUAUCGGAACACGGUAGUUGGGGGACGGAUUCCCGUCAAUCCCCGUCAUGGUUCCGUCGAUCCACCUCCUCCCCUCGGGAGUUGGUGGGUAUCGUCGUGCGGGCAUCCGACCUUCUCCAUCGGGAAAGCCGACCCCCUCUCGGGCGCUUCUUCUCGCGAUGGCGCGUAGGUGCUGCCGGGCAUGCUCUCGGGUACGGUGGUGGUUUCGUUGGUUUUCGCAACGGUCCUCGUCGGCCGUUGUGGUCUAGACGUGUCGAAGCGUUAGCGCUUCUGCUCGCGUGACUCUCGUGCUUGUCCAGGGGCUCUCGGCGCUUCACCGUUUCGUGAUCGCCUUGGGGAGGCACGGAGGUCUACGGAGUGACGC
This 601-nucleotide unclassified non-coding RNA is filed under the name Comolia sp. Rocha 984. RNAcentral describes it as "partial external transcribed spacer". Lineage: Eukaryota; Viridiplantae; Streptophyta; Magnoliopsida; Myrtales; Melastomataceae. The record is from RNAcentral.